Molecule: ribosomal RNA, 433 nt
Filed under: uncultured bacterium
Lineage: Bacteria
Description: partial 16S ribosomal RNA
Rfam family: Bacterial small subunit ribosomal RNA
Source: RNAcentral
AACGAACGUUGGCGGCAUGCCUAACACAUGCAAGUCGAACGAGACCUUCGGGUCUAGUGGCGCACGGGUGCGUAACGCGUGGGAACCUGCCCUUAGGUUCGGAAUAACUCACCGAAAGGGGUGCUAAUACCGGAUAAUGUCUUCGGACCAAAGAUUUAUCGCCUUUGGAUGGGCCCGCGUUGGAUUAGCUAGUUGGUAGGGUAAAAGCCUACCAAGGCGACGAUCCAUAGCUGGUCUGAGAGGAUGAUCAGCCACACUGGGACUGAGACACGGCCCAGACUCCUACGGGAGGCAGCAGUGGGGAAUAUUGGACAAUGGGCGAAAGCCUGAUCCAGCAAUGCCGCGUGAGUGAUGAAGGCCUUAGGGUUGUAAAGCUCUUUUACCCGGGAUGAUAAUGACAGUACCGGGAGAAUAAGCUCCGGCUAACUCCGUG